RNAcentral lists this ribosomal RNA (267 nucleotides) under uncultured prokaryote. Its description in RNAcentral is "partial 16S ribosomal RNA". It matches the Rfam family "Bacterial small subunit ribosomal RNA", at positions 524 to 788 of the family's 1533-position model. The record is from RNAcentral.
CACGUAGGAGGCAAACGUUAUCCGGAUUUACUGGGCGUAAAGAGCUCGUAGGUGGUUUGUCGCGUCGUCUGUGAAAUUCCGGGGCUUAACCUCGGGCGUGCAGGCGAUACGGGCAAUACUUGAGUGCUGUAGGGGAGACUGGAAUUCCUGGUGUAGCGGUGAAAUGCGCAGAUAUCAGGAGGAACACCGAUGGCGAAGGCAGGUCUCUGGGCAGUAACUGACGCUGAGGAGCGAAAGCAUGGGUAGCGAACAGGAUUAGAUACCCCU